This 253-nucleotide ribosomal RNA is filed under the name uncultured bacterium. Its description in RNAcentral is "partial 16S ribosomal RNA". It matches the Rfam family "Bacterial small subunit ribosomal RNA", at positions 524 to 776 of the family's 1533-position model. The record is from RNAcentral.
UACGUAGGUGGCAAGCGUUGUCCGGAUUUACUGGGCGUAAAGAGCGCGCAGGCGGUCGUUUAAGUCGAAUGUGAAAGCCCCCGGCUCAACUGGGGAGGGUCAUUCGAUACUGAUCGACUCGAAGGCAGGAGAGAGAAGUGGAAUUCCACGUGUAGCAGUGAAAUGCGUAGAGAUGUGGAGGAACACCGAUGGCGAAGGCAGCCCCCUGGGUCAAGAUUGACGCUCAUGCACGAAAGCGUGGGGAGCAAACAGG